This 322-nucleotide ribosomal RNA is filed under the name uncultured bacterium. RNAcentral's name for it is "bacterial SSU rRNA". It matches the Rfam family "Bacterial small subunit ribosomal RNA", at positions 30 to 349 of the family's 1533-position model. The record is from RNAcentral.
AUUGAACGCUGGCGGCAUGCCUUACACAUGCAAGUCGAACGGCAGCACGGGAGCAAUCCUGGUGGCGAGUGGCGAACGGGUGAGUAAUAGUAUCGGAACGUGCCCAGUCGUGGGGGAUAACGUAGCGAAAGCUACGCUAAUACCGCAUACGAAUCUAUGGAUGAAAGCGGGGGAUCGCAAGACCUCGCGCGAUUGGAGCGGCCGAUAUCAGAUUAGGUAGUUGGUGGGGUAAAAGCCUACCAAGCCUUCGUAUCUGUAGCUGGUCUGAGAGGACGACCAGCCACACUGGAACUGAGACACGGUCCAGACUCCUACGGGAGGC